UUUUCAGGCACAGGGAAAACAUCGACAUUAAUCAACUUCACGUUGCGAAAUCCUAACAUGUCUUUCCUGUACGUGGCCUUCAAUAAGUCUGUUGAGGAACAAGCAAAACGGAGUUUCCCUUCCAAUGUACAAUGUCGAACUACACAUUCACUGGCAUAUGGAGCUGUUGGUUAUCGGUA
Molecule: long non-coding RNA, 179 nt
Organism: Anneissia japonica
Lineage: Eukaryota; Metazoa; Echinodermata; Crinoidea; Comatulida; Comatulidae
Exons: 2
Source: RefSeq, a predicted model, not a curated record